Molecule: ribosomal RNA, 478 nt
Filed under: uncultured bacterium
Lineage: Bacteria
Description: partial 16S ribosomal RNA
Rfam family: Bacterial small subunit ribosomal RNA
Source: RNAcentral
GAUUAACGCUGGCGGCGUGCAUAACACAUGCAAGUCGAACGAUGAAACUCAUUAGAUUUCUUCGGAAUGAAAAUGAAUGGAUUAGUGGCGAACGGGUGAGUAACGCGUGAGUAACCUGCCUUACACAAGGGGAUAGCCUCUGGAAACGGAGAAUAAUACCCUAUGAAACCAGACAAUCGAAUGAUACUCUGUUAAAAUUGUUUAUUGGUGUAAGAUGGACUUGCGUCUGAUUAGCUAGUUGGUGGGAUAAAAGCUCACCAAGGCAACGAUCAGUAGCCGGAUUGAGAGAGUGUACGGCCACAUUGGGACUGAGACACGGCCCAGACUCCUACGGGAGGCAGCAGUGGGGAAUUUUGCACAAUGGGGGAAACCCUGAUGCAGCGACGCCGCGUGAUUUAGAAGGCCUUCGGGUUGUAAAAAUCUUUUGUAUAGGAAGAAAAUGACAGUACUAUACGAAUAAGGUCCGGCUAAUUACGUG